This 1359-nucleotide ribosomal RNA is filed under the name uncultured bacterium. RNAcentral describes it as "bacterial SSU rRNA". It matches the Rfam family "Bacterial small subunit ribosomal RNA", at positions 28 to 1381 of the family's 1533-position model. The record is from RNAcentral.
AUUGAACGCUGGCGGCAGGCUUAACACAUGCAAGUCGAGCGGGGAAAGGUAGCUUGCUACCUGACCUAGCGGCGGACGGGUGAGUAAUGCUUAGGAAUCUGCCUAUUAGUGGGGGACAACAUUCCGAAAGGAAUGCUAAUACCGCAUACGCCCUACGGGGGAAAGCAGGGGAUCUUCGGACCUUGCGCUAAUAGAUGAGCCUAAGUCAGAUUAGCUAGUUGGUGGGGUAAAGGCCUACCAAGGCGACGAUCUGUAGCGGGUCUGAGAGGAUGAUCCGCCACACUGGGACUGAGACACGGCCCAGACUCUUACGGGAGGCAGCAGUGGGGAAUAUUGGACAAUGGGCGAAAGCCUGAUCCAGCCAUGCCGCGUGUGUGAAGAAGGCCUUUUGGUUGUAAAGCACUUUAAGCGAGGAGGAGGCUACUUAGAUUAAUACUCUAGGAUAGUGGACGUUACUCGCAGAAUAAGCACCGGCUAACUCUGUGCCAGCAGCCGCGGUAAUACAGAGGGUGCGAGCGUUAAUCGGAUUUACUGGGCGUAAAGCGUGCGUAGGCGGCUUUUUAAGUCGGAUGUGAAAUCCCUGAGCUUAACUUAGGAAUUGCAUUCGAUACUGGGAAGCUAGAGUAUGGGAGAGGAUGGUAGAAUUCCAGGUGUAGCGGUGAAAUGCGUAGAGAUCUGGAGGAAUACCGAUGGCGAAGGCAGCCAUCUGGCCUAAUACUGACGCUGAGGUACGAAAGCAUGGGGAGCAAACAGGAUUAGAUACCCUGGUAGUCCAUGCCGUAAACGAUGUCUACUAGCCGUUGGGGCCUUUGAGGCUUUAGUGGCGCAGCUAACGCGAUAAGUAGACCGCCUGGGGAGUGCGGUCGCAAGACUAAAACUCAAAUGAAUUGACGGGGGCCCGCACAAGCGGUGGAGCAUGUGGUUUAAUUCGAUGCAACGCGAAGAACCUUACCUGGUCUUGACAUAGUAAGAACUUUCCAGAGAUGGAUUGGUGCCUUCGGGAACUUACAUACAGGUGCUGCAUGGCUGUCGUCAGCUCGUGUCGUGAGAUGUUGGGUUAAGUCCCGCAACGAGCGCAACCCUUUUCCUUAUUUGCCAGCGGGUUAAGCCGGGAACUUUAAGGAUACUGCCAGUGACAAACUGGAGGAAGGCGGGGACGACGUCAAGUCAUCAUGGCCCUUACGACCAGGGCUACACACGUGCUACAAUGGUCGGUACAAAGGGUUGCUACCUAGCGAUAGGAUGCUAAUCUCAAAAAGCCGAUCGUAGUCCGGAUUGGAGUCUGCAACUCGACUCCAUGAAGUCGGAAUCGCUAGUAAUCGCGGAUCAGAAUGCCGCGGUGAAUACGUUCCCGGGCCU